GUUUCAAAGAAGGUUCGAAAAAUACCGAUCGUGUUUUCUGAUACAUGGACUCUUCAUUUGCCAUGGGUCCUCCUCCUUUGGAGCUUCUAGAGCUUGUAGCCUCGGGAGCAGAGCCUGGAAAACUCCUUGGCCAGAUGUUCUAAAGAAAAGCAACUCCUGUAAAUUUGAGAGGGCCAACAUCCACUCUGUGAGCCACUCUUUCCUGCCCCCCACCAAACACACAAGAAAGUGAGGCCCACUACUUCACAGAACCGACAGGAAUGCUUCCUUUUGCCAUGUUCGUUGAGGAUGUGGGUGAAGUGAAGUGGCACCAAGCAAAGGAGUUCCUAAAAUUUUAAGAAGAUGUGAGGGUAUGGGCGGCUUUCCAUUUAUCCAGAAGUCCAACAUAGGUCACUUGAAAACGCCAAAAGAAGGCCAAACGUGUUGUGAAUCUGGAAGAUGAGUUAACUAGCAUCAUGGAAGACCCAAAGACCUCAGCUUCUCAGGCUGGUG
This is a long non-coding RNA of Heterocephalus glaber (naked mole-rat), 492 nucleotides long. The record is from Ensembl. Lineage: Eukaryota; Metazoa; Chordata; Mammalia; Rodentia; Bathyergidae.